GUUGAUGAUUUUUUACCUAGUGACAUUAAUAACCUUUCUAAUUUGCGUUAUCUUGACUUGUCUUGGAAUUAUAUUUCAUCGAUAUAUAGGAUUGGGAAGCUAAACUCUCUUCUAGAAUUGUAUUGGUUUGAUCUUAGAAAAGAGAUGGGCUAUAGAAUUGAUGAGUUGAAGUAUUUGAAUGAUCUUUGCAAAUUAGGAAUCAACCGCCUUGAAAAUGUGAAGGACGCCAAGGAGGGUCAUCUUCAGUUCAGAUGCUAUCUAUUCAUAACGUUCCUAUGCUUUGUUCUGAAAGUUAGGUCUUCUCUUUGUGAGCUGGAAUUUGGUCAGCUCAAAUCUUUAUUAAGCGCUCACAUUAGGUCCAACUGCUUUAAGGAAAUUUUCAAAAUACAAAAGCAAACUUCCUUCUUCUUAUCUUAUUUGUUUGAUAUGAAAUAUGAAGAAUGCAAUCUCAGCAUUAACCAGUUUGUAUCACUUGAUCGAUGCACUCAAUUUUGUUUAUGUAUGAUUUGGUGGUCCCUUUAUAUAGAAAUAUAUUCUUCUUUUGUUAUAUAUGUCGUUAAAUUUCAGAUUUUCAUCAUUUCUUUGGUUGAAAGGCUGCGAGAGAACCACCCCAAGAUCCAAGCUGUCUUCUUUGCAACCAACCAACCACAAAUUAGCGAUCAGAACCCGGCUAUCAACAAAUGGAUAUGGAAGCUGCGAGUUGCUAUUGAUGGGCAGAUGAUGUGCUCGAUGAGUUUUAGUACAUGAAGCAUAAACAAAAGUUCCCCAAAAACACAAAAGAAACAAAGCUCAAGUACAAAUCUCCUUGGAAGCAUCCUCCUAAUAGAGCUUCCAAAUGCUGGAAGCUUCUUUGCUUGGUGGCUUUGAAGAUAAAAGGUUUGAUUUCCUUCUCUAUUAUGAAAAACAGCAAAUUGUCCCUCCUAUAGGACUCAUGGUGCAAUGGUUAUGCCUUAUACGGAUUCGUGGAUGGUGAUAAUCUUAACUUAACAGAUUUGCCCUGAAUUCUAUUAUUUUUGUUCAUAGCUGUAAAAUUCCUCCUCUUUUUUCUCUGACUGUCAAAAA
This is a long non-coding RNA of Dendrobium catenatum, 1062 nucleotides long. RefSeq lists it as uncharacterized. Lineage: Eukaryota; Viridiplantae; Streptophyta; Magnoliopsida; Asparagales; Orchidaceae. The record is from RefSeq and is a predicted model, not a curated record. The transcript is spliced from 2 exons.